ACGGGUGAGUAACGCGUAGGAAUCUACCCAGUAGUGGGGGACAACUUAGGGAAACUUAAGCUAAUACCGCAUACGCCCUAAGGGGGAAAGCGGGGGAUCUUCGGACCUCGCGCUAUUGGAUGAGCCUAAGCCCGAUUAGCUAGUUGGCGGGGUAAUAGCCCACCAAGGCGAUGAUCGGUAGCUGGUCUGAGAGGAUGAUCAGCCACACUGGGACUGAGACACGGCCCAGACUCC
Molecule: ribosomal RNA, 234 nt
Filed under: uncultured bacterium
Lineage: Bacteria
Description: partial 16S ribosomal RNA
Rfam family: Bacterial small subunit ribosomal RNA
Source: RNAcentral